This 219-nucleotide long non-coding RNA is filed under the name Elaeis guineensis (African oil palm). RNAcentral describes it as "long non-coding RNA (EGUI_LNC000795)". Lineage: Eukaryota; Viridiplantae; Streptophyta; Magnoliopsida; Arecales; Arecaceae. The record is from RNAcentral.
CAUUUGCCACAUGACUUGUAAUGAGUCGGUAGACGGUUUUGCUUCUCUCUAACUUGGGGGUGAAUUAUACCCUACAUCGUACUUACCAAAAUGUCCAUAUAUCAUGUUAAUAAGCUUAUCUUCUUUCCAUAGAUCAAUUAUCGAGAUGAGCAUUUGAUGAAUGGAGUUUAUAGGAUAUGAUGCACGUGAUGUAGAAAAUUUAUUCUAACUUAGAUGCCA